UUGGCUGCCGGCAAGCUUCCUAAGGGACUCGGCCACUCGGAGGGCGCCACAGCGGCCACUCUAGCCGCUGUCCCGUGGUUUGGCCUCCCUCUUUCAGCCGCGAGCUCUAUGGUGCUGGCGACGACAUGUGGCGGCUGCCGGGACUCCUGGGCCGAGCUCUUCCCCAUCUCCUGGGACCUGGCUUUCGUGGGGUGACCCCCAAGUCCUCCAGCCCAGAUGGGCCUCAGGCUACCUCCUCCAAUCUGCUGGUUCCUGUGCCCAGUUUUGACAGGUCCAGCCCCCACUGCCCUGGCCCAGGCACAAGCAGGGGCCCAAAGUCCCAUGGAUGGAAGGAUGCCUUCCAGUGGAUGUCUGCUCGUGGCUCCCGGAACACACUGUGGGAUGCCAUAUCAUGGGGCACUCUGGCCGUGUUGGCCCUGCAGCUGGCGAGGCAGAUCCACUUCCAGACGUCCCUUCCAGCAGGACCUUGGCGAGUGGAGCACUGCUCUUGGUACAGUCCGCUGGACCGCUUCCUCUCAUCUCCCUUGAGGCACCCUUGUUCCUCACUGCGGAGACACAUUCUGCCUAGCUCUGAUAGCCCAGCUCCCAAGCACACUGGCCUCGGGGAAUGCAGACUGGGCCAGGAAGAACCUUCCACUCAGCCCAAGAGCAUCUCUUCACCCAGCUCUUUGAGAGCAGCUAGGCAUCAGGACCCCUCUGAGGAAGAUCCCAGUGACAUCAGCUUCCUGCAUGCCAGCAGUAGCUUCAAGUCCAAGCCGAAGCCGGCCCAACCUCAACCCACUGACGAAAAGCAGGAACAAGAGAAAUCAAAACUUUCCCUCGAGGAGGCCGUGACCUCCAUUCAGCAGCUCUUCCAGCUCAGUGUUUCCAUCGCUUUCAACUUCCUAGGGACAGAGAACAUGAAGAAUGGGGACUACAUGGCAGCCUUUUCUUACUUCCAGAAAGCAGCGGACCGCGGCUACAGCAAAGCACAGUACAACGUGGGCUUGUGUCACGAGCAUGGCAGGGGCACCCGCAGGGACCCCAGCAAGGCAGCCUUUUAUUACCAAUUGGCUGCCAGCCAGGGCCACAACCUUGCUCAGUACCGUUAUGCAAGGUGCCUGCUACAAGACCCUGGCUCCUCGUGGGACCAUGAGCGGCAGAGGGCAGUGUCCAUGCUGAAGCGGGCUGCAGACUCAGGCUUACGGGAGGCCCAAGCUUUCCUCGGGGUGCUUUUUACCAAGGAGCCCUACGUGGAUGAGCAGAGAGCUGUGAAAUAUCUUUGGCUUGCAGCCAACAAUGGGGACUCACAGAGCAGAUACCACUUGGGAAUUUGCUAUGAGAAGGGCCUUGGGGUACAGAGGAGUCUGGGAGAGGCCAUGAGAUGUUACCAGCAGUCAGCAGCUCUGGGGAACAUGCCCGCCCAGGAGAGGCUGCGGGCCCUCUUCUCCACGGAGGCAGCAGGUACAGACGAGAAUCACAGCCAACAGGUCCCUCCCUGAGCUCCGUACCCUGCGAUAGAGAAGCAGGUGAUGGUAGCCUUCUGUCUCUCUGUUACUUCCUGCUCCAGUGGUGUGUACGAGCCCAGCUUUUUGAGUCUGACAGAUCAAACCUGAGUUUUAACCCCUGCUCUGUCACUGAACUUGGAUUGCAUGUACUUGCACCUCUGUUUCUUCACCUCUGAAAACUCAUUAGGUUGUUUCUGUCCUUUAAGACUGCAGUCUCUGUUUUCCCCAGUACUGUGGAAGUCCUGUAAUCAAAUCCCACCAGCCUUCAAAGUCAGAUUUCCUGGGGAUUCCCAGUCCCUUUGCCAGUUCCGUGGGCUGGGAAGCCUGAAGGGGCUCAGAACCUUCACAACAGUGGGAGAACUUCUGUGAUACAGUUAUUUUCCAGUUUGUGGGCCACCCACCUGGCGGGAGGAGAUGAGGGUAUGUCAUUCUACUCUGCCAUCUUGGAAUCAAUCUCUGGAAACUCAUUGAGGAUUAAAUGAGACGACAGCCAAGGGCUUAGCAUAGCCUGGCGCAUAGUAGGUGUUGAAUACAUGGUGGCCUCUCAGAUGACUCGUCAGGAGGGACACUCUCCUGAGGCUGCCUCCAGGCCCUAACUUACGGUCUAGGGCUCUGCUCACCCCUGACUCACUCUGGCUGACCUGGUGAACAAUGCCAGGGGAGCCAAGUCCUUCAAGAAACCCUUGCUCCAAAGUAGAAGUCCAAGAACACAAGGUAAGAGUUGCUCUCCCCUCUCCUCACAGCCCCAGGGCCCAGCGACCUAGCAGUGAGAGGACUGAAGUCAUUUUCUAGCCCCUCUCUCUGCAGCCUGAACAGGAGCCUGCUGGCAGGAGCCUCUUGCCUGCCACACGCCUCCAGCACAGGGAACCUUGGCCUCCUCUGUAGA
Molecule: RNA transcript, 2373 nt
Organism: Dama dama (fallow deer)
Lineage: Eukaryota; Metazoa; Chordata; Mammalia; Artiodactyla; Cervidae
Gene: DELE1
Gene name: DAP3 binding cell death enhancer 1
Exons: 12
Source: RefSeq, a predicted model, not a curated record